GUCCACGCCGUAACGAUGGGUGCUAGGUGUGGGCGGUGUCGACUCCGUCCGUGCCGAAGCUAACGCAUUAAGCACCCCGCCUGGGGAGUACGGCCGCAAGGCUAAACUCAAAGGAAUUGACGGGGCCCGCACAAGCAGCGGAGCAUGUGGUUUAAUUCGACGCGACGCGAAGAACCUUACCAGGGCUUGACAUGCACGGGAAUGUCGUAGAAAUACGGCAGCCCUUCGGGGCUCGUGCACAGGUGGUGCAUGGCUGUCGU
Molecule: ribosomal RNA, 260 nt
Filed under: uncultured bacterium
Lineage: Bacteria
Description: partial 16S ribosomal RNA
Rfam family: Bacterial small subunit ribosomal RNA
Source: RNAcentral